This 1092-nucleotide ribosomal RNA is filed under the name Triticum aestivum (bread wheat). Its description in RNAcentral is "partial small subunit ribosomal RNA". Lineage: Eukaryota; Viridiplantae; Streptophyta; Magnoliopsida; Poales; Poaceae. The record is from RNAcentral.
AUGCCCAACAUAGGUGGCUUAGUGACCAUUGAAAAAGUUUGGCAGCUGGAUGACAUGCAUGAUCUCAAGUUGACAUCACGGCUCAAAGAUGUAUGCCUCUCCUUCGCACUGUCCAAGCUUUUAAGGUGUCGGUUCACCAGGUACACAAAUGAUGAGAUUGGCUUCACCAAAGCUUCUAACUUUUUACGGCAUAUGUUACUCGGGGACAGUUAUGAUGACAGGCUACUUCGACUGGUUGAGCAUGAGCUUUCUUUUCUUCAUGAUAUUUAUUAUUCAUCUCUCACAAUCUCAUAUUCAAAGAUCUGGAUGCCCCUACUGAGCAUAUUAAUUUCACUCUCAGGCAUCGGUUACUGCUUAGUUUUAAGCAUUCUCAUAGUAUAUGUUCAAAUUGAUUAUCUGAAUGACACGUCAGAUGGACAAUUACCGCUGAUACGAUGCAACUAUCAGUGCCGUCGAUUCAUUAGUGAAGCGCAAGGCAAAAUACCAGCAGUACACCGUCAGUUUUUUGGAAGUGCAAUAUUUGACCUUGUACCGGUGGUUGUACUUAUUGCACUGGUUGUGCUUGCUGAGAUAAGAGAGGUUGCUUCUUACAUUUGCUCUAACUGGACAAAAGUGACCUUAAUCUGCCACUACAUAAACCAUGCUUCUUGGCAGAAAUCUCAUAUGAUGAAGAAAUGUAUUAGACGUGUGUUGCAAUGUAGAUGCAAGAUACUCAAGCAUUUUGAGGACAAAAUGAACCAAUGUUCAAUACUGGUGCUCCACCAAACGAAGACUCCAAUGAGACUUCUUCAUCUUCUUAAACCUGGUCAGAAGGUCAAGGUGCCAAGAGAGGUGAAGGCUGCUAUCAUGAAUGCACUGAGAAGCUAUGAGGGAAGCCGAGACAAUAACCGCAUUCCAUGUUUGAUCACGAGGCCACAAUUCAAGACCGGCGACAACCUCCUUUGGGUGGUUGAUGGCACAAAAGGUAUUGCCAAUACCAUUCUUGUGUGCCACAUCGCCACAAGCAUUCUUGAACUCGGGUCGGCUGGCUCAUGUCAACCUCUCACUGACCAUAAGACCGCUGCCAUUCACCUGUCCCGAUACUGCGCCUAG